This 465-nucleotide ribosomal RNA is filed under the name uncultured bacterium. RNAcentral describes it as "partial 16S ribosomal RNA". It matches the Rfam family "Bacterial small subunit ribosomal RNA", at positions 338 to 795 of the family's 1533-position model. The record is from RNAcentral.
CCUACGGGGGGCAGCAGUAGGGAAUCUUCCACAAUGGGCGAAAGCCUGAUGGAGCAACGCCGCGUGGGUGAAGAAGGUCUUCGGAUCGUAAAACACUGUUGUUGGAGAAGAAAGUGCGUGAGAGUAACUGUGCACGUUUCGACGUUAUCUGACCAGAAAGCCCCGGCUAACUACGUGCCAGCAGCCGCGGUAAUACGUAGGUGGCAAGCGUUAGCCGGAUUUAUUGGGCGUAAAGGGAACGCAGGCGGUCUUUUAAGUCUGAUGUGAAAUCCUUGGGCUUAACCGGAGUAGUGCAUGGGAUACUGGGAGACUUGAGUGCCGAAGAGGGGGGUGGAACUCCAGGUGUAGCGGUGAAAUGCGUAGAUAUAUGGAAGAAUACCAGUGGCGAAAGCGGCUCUCUGGUCUGUAACUGACGCUGAGGUGCGAAAGCGUGGGUAGCAAACAGGAUUAGAUACCCGAGUAGUC